This 917-nucleotide long non-coding RNA is filed under the name Homo sapiens (human). Its description in RNAcentral is "HSALNT0214803". The record is from RNAcentral. Lineage: Eukaryota; Metazoa; Chordata; Mammalia; Primates; Hominidae.
CCCGGGUUCACGUGAUUCUCCUGCCUCAGCCUCCUGAAUAGCUGGACUACAGGUGCCUGCCAUCACGCCUGGCUAAUUUUUGUAUUUUAAGUAGAGACAGGGUUUUGCCAUGUUGGCCAGGCUGGUCUCGAACACUUGACUUCAGGUAUCUGCCAACCUCGGCCUCCCAAAGUGCUGGGAUUAUAGGCAUGGGCCACCAUGCCUGGUCAGCUAUAAGCAUUUGAUAUAAGUUUUUAUGUGAACCUAAGUUUUCUUUUCUUUUGGUUAUAUAUACAUGAUUGGGACUGCUGGAUCACAUGGCUAAGUAUACAUUUAUCAAAAAAAUGCCAAACUGUUUUCCAAAGCUGUACACUUUUACAUUCCCAUUAACAGUAUAUGAGUCUCAGCUGCUUGGAUCCUUGCCAACACUUGGUAUUGUCAGUUUUAUUUCUUCAUUAAAGCCAUACCUACAGGGGUGCCAUGGUGUCUCACUGUGGUUUUAUCGUGCAUUUCCCUGUGACUAGUGAUGCUGAGAGUCUUUUCAUGUGCUUAUUUGUCAUCCCUAUGUCUUAUUUGGUGAAAUAUCUUUUCAAAUCCUUCACCUUUUUAUUGAGUUGUUUUCUGAUUAUUCAGUUUUAAGAGUUCUUUAUAUAUUCUGCUUAUAAUUUCUUUGUCAGAUAGUUACUUUUUCUCUCAACUUCUACUACUAAUUGGCCAAAGUUUAAGACAUAUUUAAACCGAGACCUGGAAAGUAACUCUGCACUUCCCAUUGUUAUUUAGAUUAUACUCAAGUAUUUUUCAUUUUCCAGGUGGUAAAAUGUGUUUAUUUUUCACCUACUAAUAUUCAUGAUUUCUGGCCGGACGUGAUGGCUCACGCCUGUAAUCCCAGCACUUUGGGAGGCCGAGGCGGGCGGAUCAUGAGGUCAGGAGUUCGAGAC